UGGAUGUCACUCAUAUUUCCUCCUUUGGGU
This 30-nucleotide non-coding RNA is filed under the name Mus musculus (house mouse). Lineage: Eukaryota; Metazoa; Chordata; Mammalia; Rodentia; Muridae. The record is from RNAcentral.